GAGGGAAACCGAGUCUUAAUUGGGCGUUAAGUUGCAGGGUAUAGACCCGAAACCCGGUGAUCUAGCCAUGGGCAGGUUGAAGGUUGGGUAACACUAACUGGAGGACCGAACCGACUAAUGUUGAAAAAUUAGCGGAUGACCUGUGGCUGGGGGUGAAAGGCCAAUCAAACCGGGAGAUAGCUGGUUCUCCCCGAAAGCUAUUUAGGUAGCGCCUCGUGAAUUCAUCUCCGGGGGUAGAGC
Molecule: ribosomal RNA, 240 nt
Filed under: Salmonella enterica subsp. enterica serovar Kentucky
Lineage: Bacteria; Pseudomonadati; Pseudomonadota; Gammaproteobacteria; Enterobacterales; Enterobacteriaceae
Description: partial 23S ribosomal RNA
Rfam family: Bacterial large subunit ribosomal RNA
Source: RNAcentral